RNAcentral lists this unclassified non-coding RNA (338 nucleotides) under Hevea brasiliensis (rubber tree). The record is from RNAcentral. Lineage: Eukaryota; Viridiplantae; Streptophyta; Magnoliopsida; Malpighiales; Euphorbiaceae.
UAGCUGAAAGCAGCAAUAUUUUGGUAAUUUUGAUUGAAAAUUUUAGUUUUGAGCCACUGCAUAUGAGUUCUACUUUAGUUUGAGGUAUUUUGAUAGAUAAGAUUGUUUUAUCACAGAUUCACAGUAUAACUAUAAGUGUAAAACAUAUCCCUAUCAUGUAAACUACUUGAGUUUCGCUGCUAGAAUUGUUCUUUGUCAAUGUCCAUUCAAAGAAUAUUGAAGUUUUGUGGACUCAAUAGUUUUGAUAAUAUAUGAGAUCAUUCUCUCUUUCUCUCCUCAACUCUCCAGCAAGAGGAGAAAGAGGGGAAAAAAACUUAUGAGUUUAUGUCCGUGGGCUG